Molecule: long non-coding RNA, 770 nt
Filed under: Mus pahari (shrew mouse)
Lineage: Eukaryota; Metazoa; Chordata; Mammalia; Rodentia; Muridae
Description: lncRNA (MGP_PahariEiJ_G0005342.1)
Source: RNAcentral
AGCAGGCAGCGUGGGUGUGUCCGUUUCCUCUCUGCUCCUGACUGUGGAUGAGAUGUGACUCACUGCCUGAGUUCCUGUCAGGAAUGGUGACCUCAAACUUUCAACAGGAACGCUGAGUAAGCAGCAAAUGGGGAACAGCGAGCAGUCUUCUGGUCUGUGAUAGCAUUAUAUCUACACCAAGCUGGCCAGUUUGUUCGGGGAGAGACAGCCCCCCCACCCCCCCAAGGACAGGUUCCUGCUCAGCUGCCAAGAACCACAAGGCCUCCUCUGGCUCUCUCCAUCCACCUGCUCCCGUCAGAGCAUCCUUCCCCCGGGGAGAUCAAGGACCAGCCAAGGAAGACCAUGCGUGGAAGCCAACUUUACGUGGGAGGAAAUGCAGCCCGACACAUCCGGGAGGAAAAAAAAGCUAGCUCCCAUGAGAGCCUGGAGCCAGCGCUACCCAAGGCUAGCCAUUCCUUCCUGUCCUCUGAUACUGAGAAAGUAAGCUUUUGGCUGUGCAUAGAGCAGGGAACCCAUACUCCUGAGAGUCCUACCUGGUCCCCUAACCCCUCCUGUUGUGAUAGCCCAACCCAGGACCCUAGCACGAACAGUUGUCUGUAGACAGUGAGACACCUGGCUCGCUGGCUCUCCUUCAUCCCCACUGGUCCCCUGCCUACCAGCUGUGCUACUGGCUACUCGGGGGUGAUGUAUAUUUAACAAGGGCUCAGAAUCAAAUUAAUUCAGAUGAGUUAAUAAACGGCAACCUCCAUCUUCCUCUCGGGUAAGCUAAA